This is a long non-coding RNA of Papaver somniferum (opium poppy), 941 nucleotides long. RefSeq lists it as uncharacterized. NCBI's taxonomy places the organism in Eukaryota, Viridiplantae, Streptophyta, Magnoliopsida, Ranunculales, Papaveraceae. The transcript has 2 exons. The record is from RefSeq and is a predicted model, not a curated record.
CUGUUGCACGAAAGAAAUACAAAGAAAAGAAGAGAAAUUUCUCAUUCCUAGAUAUUGGUAUCUAUAAUAUAACACAAAAUGAUUUGUUUGGUGUCCCAAGAAAUUGUGGUUACUUUUUCACUGGCCAAGAUUGCCCUUCCGUGUUUUUGAGUUUAGCCUGCGUUUUCAUGGAUUUUGGGGAAUUUCAUAGAUACCAGGGGCAGAUACGUAGUCUUCUCUCCUCCUGUGUUCUUCACUUUCAUUUCAGAAAAACAAUUCUCUCUUUCAUCAAAACAAAUCUCUCCAUCCAAAUCUCUUCUUUCAUCUUCAUCACCUUUAUCGAUCGUGCUAGAUCGGGUUUCGCACUCUAUAUUUCGAAUUUAGAGUUCAGAGUUUUGAUUUGAUUGAAUAUUCAAUCAUCAUCUAACCUGUAACCCUAAAUUCGAAAUAGGGUGAAUAAAUCGAACCACCAGCACCAUCACCAACUUCGUUCUCUUCCUUGGGCAAAUUAUAAAUUGGAUUAGUUGAUUUAAAUUGGAUUGAUUGGAUUAUGAACUUUAAUCCAACUGAACGCAACAUCCGGAGGAAAAAAGAUUUUUGCUCUACAUCUCUAAAGUGGAGCAUAGAACCAGUAUAGAGGAAGUGAUUCUAGCAUCGUAGUCCAGGAAGGUCCAUCAAAAGGAAGAACUGGACUGGAACUGGAAAUGAUACCAGAAUAUCAACUGACUGAAUCAGUGGAAGAACUAGGCUGACGGUACGGCCUAUCCAGUACCUUAAGAUAUCCGAGUCCUAGAGUUUGUUGUUUUAAACUUAUAUUUCACGGGUUUUUUUUUGUUCCUGCUGUUCCAAUGUCCUAGGUGUCGUUUGGUUUUCCCAUGAUAGUUGAAAAAUUAAUCAACAGUGUCAUGUUCAGUGUAUUUUCUCUUUCUGAGCGGGGUAAUACAGGUUUAUGAAACCAUUGC